Molecule: long non-coding RNA, 611 nt
Organism: Heteronotia binoei (common prickly gecko)
Lineage: Eukaryota; Metazoa; Chordata; Lepidosauria; Squamata; Gekkonidae
Exons: 3
Source: RefSeq, a predicted model, not a curated record
GCAAACAGUUUUUAAAAUGUGUGCCUUUAAGGCUGAGCAGGAAGUAGGGAACAGGAAGGGCUUCAUGGGAAAGGAUCAGUAACAGUUUCCUCAGAGAACAGCCCCUCCCUUUCUUUUGCUUUCGUUUUCAGAGCAAGUAAAGUUCUGCAGAAACAAGAUCCACUAAUCUAAUAAGGUAAAUUCUAGCGUAAGCAGAAGGGGACCAACUGGAAGGAGAAGAUUCAAAAGAUGAGUUCUGGAGAUAUUAUGUUGAUCAUAAAUAUAAUCCAAUGACGAUCCAAACAACAGGAGACCUGAGGAAUGCCAUUGCAAAGGAUUGUUGCAACUUGAAGAAGCUCACGCGAAACAAGGGUUCAGUACGACCUUGACCUUGGAAACUUGUAUUGGCUGCAUCUUUGGACAGACAUUAAACAUCUGGAGUACUACACCAGGACUGCAUGGAAUAAGAUAGAAGUUUUACCACAGGAUGAAAAGAAAGACUCUUGGUGCUAUUGCUUCCUUUUCUAUUAAGGACUAAAAGUUAUGGUUGUUUUGUAAUUUAUGAUGGUGGAAUUUGUGUUUAUUUUUGUUGACCUUGUAUAAUUUAAUAAUAGAAGCUGGUUUUCACGGUG